AGUGGAAGCGUCUGGAAAGGCGCGCGAUACAGGGUGACAGCCCCGUACACAAAAGCGCAUGUGCUGUGAGCUCGAUGAGUAGGGCGGGACACGUGGUAUCCUGUCUGAAUAUGGGGGGACCAUCCUCCAAGGCUAAAUACUCCUGACUGACCGAUAGUGAACCAGUACCGUGAGGGAAAGGCGAAAAGAACCCCGGCGAGGGGAGUGAAAAAGAACCUGAAACCGUGUACGUACAAGCAGUGGGAGCACAGGUUUACCUGUGUGACUGCGUACCUUUUGUAUAAUGGGUCAGCGACUUAUAUUCUGUAGCAAGGUUAACUGUAUAGGGGAGCCGGA
RNAcentral lists this ribosomal RNA (336 nucleotides) under Salmonella enterica subsp. enterica serovar Paratyphi A. RNAcentral describes it as "partial 23S ribosomal RNA". It matches the Rfam family "Bacterial large subunit ribosomal RNA", at positions 331 to 670 of the family's 2925-position model. The record is from RNAcentral. Lineage: Bacteria; Pseudomonadati; Pseudomonadota; Gammaproteobacteria; Enterobacterales; Enterobacteriaceae.